AGUCGAGCGGACCGACGGGAGCUUGCUCCCUUAGGUCAGCGGCGGACGGGUGAGUAACACGUGGGUAACCUGCCUGUAAGACUGGGAUAACUCCGGGAAACCGGGGCUAAUACCGGAUGCUUGAUUGAACCGCAUGGUUCAAUUAUAAAAGGUGGCUUUUAGCUACCACUUACAGAUGGACCCGCGGCGCAUUAGCUAGUUGGUGAGGUAACGGCUCACCAAGGCGACGAUGCGUAGCCGACCUGAGAGGGUGAUCGGCCACACUGGGACUGAGACACGGCCCAGACUCCUACGGGAGGCAGCAGUAGGGAAUCUUCCGCAAUGGACGAAAGUCUGACGGAGCAACGCCGCGUGAGUGAUGAAGGUUUUCGGAUCGUAAAACUCUGUUGUUAGGGAAGAACAAGUACCGUUCGAAUAGGGCGGUACCUUGACGGUACCUAACCAGAAAGCCACGGCUAACUACGUGCCAGCAGCCGCGGUAAUACGUAGGUGGCAAGCGUUGUCCGGAAUUAUUGGGCGUAAAGCGCGCGCAGGCGGUUUCUUAAGUCUGAUGUGAAAGCCCCCGGCUCAACCGGGGAGGGUCAUUGGAAACUGGGGAACUUGAGUGCAGAAGAGGAGAGUGGAAUUCCACGUGUAGCGGUGAAAUGCGUAGAGAUGUGGAGGAACACCAGUGGCGAAGGCGACUCUCUGGUCUGUAACUGACGCUGAGGCGCGAAAGCGUGGGGAGCGAACAGGAUUAGAUACCCUGGUAGUCCACGCCGUAAACGAUGAGUGCUAAGUGUUAGAGGGUUUCCGCCCUUUAGUGCUGCAGCAAACGCAUUAAGCACUCCGCCUGGGGAGUACGGUCGCAAGACUGAAACUCAAAGGAAUUGACGGGGGCCCGCACAAGCGGUGGAGCAUGUGGUUUAAUUCGAAGCAACGCGAAGAACCUUACCAGGUCU
This 941-nucleotide ribosomal RNA is filed under the name Bacillus sp. Hs49. RNAcentral describes it as "bacterial SSU rRNA". It matches the Rfam family "Bacterial small subunit ribosomal RNA", at positions 60 to 981 of the family's 1533-position model. Lineage: Bacteria; Bacillati; Bacillota; Bacilli; Caryophanales; Bacillaceae. The record is from RNAcentral.